This 464-nucleotide ribosomal RNA is filed under the name uncultured bacterium. RNAcentral's name for it is "bacterial SSU rRNA". It matches the Rfam family "Bacterial small subunit ribosomal RNA", at positions 8 to 518 of the family's 1533-position model. The record is from RNAcentral.
AGAGUUGAUCAUGGCUCAGAACGAACGCUGGCGGCAUGCCUAACACAUGCAAGUCGAACGAGACCUUCGGGUCUAGUGGCGCACGGGUGCGUAACGCGUGGGAAUCUGCCCCUCGGUUGGGAAUAACACAGAGAAAUUUGUGCUAAUACCUUAUAAUGUCUUCGGACCAAAGAUUUAUCGCCGAGGGAUGAGCCCGCGUAGGAUUAGGUAGUUGGUGGGGUAAUGGCCUACCAAGCCGACGAUCCUUAGCUGGUCUGAGAGGAUGAUCAGCCACACUGGGACUGAGACACGGCCCAGACUCCUACGGGAGGCAGCAGUGGGGAAUAUUGGACAAUGGGCGAAAGCCUGAUCCAAGCAAUGCCGCGUGAGUGAUGAAGGCCUUAGGGUUGUAAAGCUCUUUUACCCGGGAUGAUAAUGACAGUACCGGGAGAAUAAGCUCCGGCUAACUCCGUGCCAGCAGCCGC